Molecule: non-coding RNA, 314 nt
Organism: Morus notabilis
Lineage: Eukaryota; Viridiplantae; Streptophyta; Magnoliopsida; Rosales; Moraceae
Source: Rfam
UCCUCUCUCUCUCUCAAUAAGUGGAGGGAAAAAAAACAUACAAGGAUUCCCUAGUCAGAAAUGCCUAGGUUGAGAUCGAGCGCCCUCGAUGCUUGAAUUGUAGUCUGAAGAAGCGUCUUCGACAGCAAACCUGGCCCAAGUCCCCUGGAAGGGGGCGCCGGAGAGGGUGAGAGUCUUAUCAUGCUUGGACCCUGUCGCACCACGAGGCACUGUCGGCGAGUCAGGUUGUUUGGGAAUGUAGCCCCAAUUAGGCGGUAAAUUCUGUCCAAGGCUAAAUAUUUGGGAGAUACUAAUAGCAACCAAAUACUGUGAGA